This 467-nucleotide ribosomal RNA is filed under the name uncultured bacterium. RNAcentral's name for it is "partial 16S ribosomal RNA". It matches the Rfam family "Bacterial small subunit ribosomal RNA", at positions 28 to 507 of the family's 1533-position model. The record is from RNAcentral.
GACGAACGCUGGCGGCGUGCUUAACACAUGCAAGUCGAACGAUGACGACCGAGCUUGCUCGGUCUGAUUAGUGGCGAACGGGUGAGUAACACGUGGGCAACCUGCCCUUCACUCUGGGAUAACCUCGGGAAAUCGGGGCUAAUACCGGAUAUGAGCUCCUGUCGCAUGGCGGGUGUUGGAAAGUUUUUCGGUGAAGGAUGGGCUCGCGGCCUAUCAGUUUGUUGGUGAGGUAGUGGCUCACCAAGGCGAUGACGGGUAGCCGGCCUGAGAGGGCGACCGGCCACACUGGGACUGAGACACGGCCCAGACUCCUACGGGAGGCAGCAGUGGGGAAUAUUGCACAAUGGGCGAAAGCCUGAUGCAGCGACGCCGCGUGAGGGAUGACGGCCUUCGGGUUGUAAACCUCUUUCAGCAGGGAAGAAGCGAAAGUGACGGUACCUGCAGAAGAAGCGCCGGCUAACUACGUG